UGGGGAAUAUUGCGCAAUGGGGGGAACCCUGACGCAGCAACGCCGCGUGAAGGAUGAAGGUUUUCGGAUUGUAAACUUCUUUAGUCGGGGACGAAAAAAAUGACGGUACCCGAAGAAUAAGCCACGGCUAACUACGUGCCAGCAGCCGCGGUAAUACGUAGGUGGCAAGCGUUGUCCGGAAUUACUGGGUGUAAAGGGCGUGUAGGCGGGUCUGUAAGUCAGAUGUGAAAUUCCAAGGCUUAACCUUGGCGCUGCAUCUGAAACUAUGGAUCUUGAGUGCUGGAGAGGAAAGCGGAAUUCCUAGUGUAGCGGUGAAAUGCGUAGAUAUUAGGAGGAACACCAGUGGCGAAGGCGGCUUUCUGGACAGUAACUGACGCUGAGGCGCGAAAGCGUGGGGAGCAAACAG
Molecule: ribosomal RNA, 406 nt
Filed under: uncultured bacterium
Lineage: Bacteria
Description: bacterial SSU rRNA
Rfam family: Bacterial small subunit ribosomal RNA
Source: RNAcentral